Molecule: transfer RNA, 72 nt
Filed under: Ovis aries (sheep)
Lineage: Eukaryota; Metazoa; Chordata; Mammalia; Artiodactyla; Bovidae
Rfam family: tRNA
About the family: Transfer RNA (tRNA) molecules are approximately 80 nucleotides in length.
Source: Rfam by way of RNAcentral
UCCCAGGUGGCUCAGAUGGUAAAGGAUCUGCCUGCAGUGCAGGAGACCUGGGUUCAACCCCUGCAUUGGGAA